UACGUAGGGGGCAAGCGUUGUCCGGAAUCAUUGGGCGUAAAGAGCGUGUAGGCGGCCCGAUAAGUCCGCUGUGAAAGUCCAGGACUCAACCCUGGGAUGCCGGUGGAUACUGUCGGGCUCGAGUCCGGAAGAGGAGUGUGGAAUUCCUGGUGUAGCGGUGAAAUGCGCAGAUAUCAGGAGGAACACCAAUGGCGAAGGCAGCACUCUGGGACGUGACUGACGCUGAGACGCGAAAGCGUGGGGAGCAAACAGG
RNAcentral lists this ribosomal RNA (253 nucleotides) under uncultured bacterium. RNAcentral's name for it is "partial 16S ribosomal RNA". It matches the Rfam family "Bacterial small subunit ribosomal RNA", at positions 524 to 776 of the family's 1533-position model. The record is from RNAcentral.